Molecule: long non-coding RNA, 289 nt
Organism: Zophobas morio
Lineage: Eukaryota; Metazoa; Arthropoda; Insecta; Coleoptera; Tenebrionidae
Exons: 3
Source: RefSeq, a predicted model, not a curated record
GCAAUAACGAAGUUCAAGCUUUCCUUAACAAUUUCAACUUGGUUCCCGAGUUUAAUUGUUAUCUGAUGUAUAUAACAGCGCACUUAACGGUUGAUCUAUACGAACAUCUACAUUUGCAAUCUCUUUCUUCCAAAGAGGCAAGCAUAGAAACUUCCAGAGCCUUGUCCGCAAUCAUGCUAAAAAAUAACGUUCUAAAUGCUUACAAAAAUAUAUCUCCUUUCUUAGAUUAUAUUCAAAAAGAGUCAAUUUCUUGCCUCGGAGACAACCAGCUCAUUAUUAGAAACGUGAC